AGUGAACGCUGGCGGCGUGCUUAACACAUGCAAGUCGAACGAGAACGGAUUAUAGCUUGCUAUAAUUGUCAGCUAAGUGGCGCACGGGUGAGUAAUGUAUAGGUAAUAUGCCUCUUACUAAGGGAUAACAAAUGGAAACGUUUGCUAAUACCUUAUACUCCUUAUUAUCAGAAGUUAAUAAGGGAAAGAUUUAUUGGUAAGAGAUUAGCCUGUAUUGUAUCAGUUAGUUGGUGGGGUAAUGGCUUACCAAGACUAUGACACAUAACUGGUUUGAGAGGAUGAUCAGUCACACUGGAACUGAGACACGGUCCUGACUCCUACGGGAGGCAGCAGUGGGGAAUAUUGCACAAUGGACGAAAGUCUGAUGCAGCAACGCCGCGUGGAGGAUGACACAUUUCGGUGCGUAAACUCCUUUUAUAUGAGAAGAUAAUGACGGUAUUAUAUGAAUAAGCACCGGCUAACUCCGUGCCAGCAGCCGCAGUAA
This 484-nucleotide ribosomal RNA is filed under the name uncultured bacterium. Its description in RNAcentral is "partial 16S ribosomal RNA". It matches the Rfam family "Bacterial small subunit ribosomal RNA", at positions 29 to 523 of the family's 1533-position model. The record is from RNAcentral.